This 1542-nucleotide ribosomal RNA is filed under the name Triticum aestivum (bread wheat). RNAcentral's name for it is "partial small subunit ribosomal RNA". The record is from RNAcentral. Lineage: Eukaryota; Viridiplantae; Streptophyta; Magnoliopsida; Poales; Poaceae.
AUGGAUUUCGUGUGGGCGGUUGUGGCGGCGGCGGCGGCGGUGUUGGCGUGGUGGGCGCUGAGUGCGCUGGUGUGGAGGCCGCGCGCCAUCGCCCGGCAGCUCCGCGCCCAGGGCGUGGGCGGGCCGGGCUACAGGUUCCUGGCCGGGAACCUCGGCGAGAUCAAGCGUCUCCGCGCCGCCAUCGCCGGCGCCGCGCUGGACGUCGGUUCCCACGACCUGGUGCCCAUGGUGCAGCCGCAUAUGCGCAAAUGGAUCCCACUCCACGGACGCACGUUCUUGUACUGGUUCGGAGCACGGCCGACCCUGUGCGUGGCCGACGUGAGCAUGGUGAGCCAGGUGCUCCUGGAGCGCACCGGGCUGUACCCCAAGAACACCGGGAACCCGCACAUCGCCCGCCUGCUCGGCAGGGGGCUCGUGUUCGCCGACGGCGACGAGUGGAAGCGCCACCGCAAGGUCGUCCACCCCGCCUUCAACAUGGACAAGCUCAAGGUGAUGACGGCGACCAUGUCGGACUGUGCCGGGUCAAUCAUGUCGGAGUGGAAAGCGAAGGUGGGCGAGGGAGGCGGCGCGGCGGAGAUCGAGCUGAGCGGCCAGUUCGAGGAGCUAACCGCGGAUGUCAUUUCCCACACGGCCUUCGGAGCUAGCUACAGAGAGGGGAAGCGAGUCUUCCUGGCGCAGAGGGAGCUCCUGUUCCUUGCCUUCUCCACCGUUUUCAAUGUCCAAAUCCGGGCAUUUAGGUACCUGCCAACCCAAAAGAACCUCAAGAUAUGGAAGCUCGACAAGGAGGUGAGGGGCAUGCUCACCAACAUCAUCAAGAGUCGGCUCGCAGACAAGGACACCAUGGGCUAUGGGAACGACCUGCUCGGGCUGAUGUUGGAGGCGUGCACUCCGGAGGAGCACGGUCAUGAGCCGCUUCUAAGCAUGGACGAGAUCAUAGACGAGUGUAAGACCUUCUUCUUCGCUGGACACGACACUAGCUCACACAUGCUUUCAUGGACCAUGUUGUUGUUGAGCACACAUCCAGAAUGGGAGCAGAAGCUCAGGGAGGAGGUGGUGAGAGAGUGCGGCAAUGAGGUUCCCACCGGUGACGUGCUCAACAAACUGAAGCUAGUCAACAUGUUCCUUCUAGAAACUCUUAGGUUAUACUCUCCUUUGUCGACCAUUCAGAGAAAGGCAGGUUUGGAUCUUGAGGUCGGUGGCAUCACAGUGCCCAAAGGCACGGUCCUGACCAUCCCCAUUGCGUCGAUACACCGUGACAAGGAGGUAUGGGGAGAGGAUGCCCAUGAGUUCAAUCCUCUCAGGUUUGAAAACGGAGUGACACGGGCAGCAAAUCAUCCUAAUGCAUUCUUGUCUUUCUCCGAUGGGCCAAGGUCGUGCAUUGGGCAGAACUUUGCGAUGAUCGAGGCCAAGAUUGUGAUCGUCAUGAUUCUUCAGAGGUUCUCCUUCUUCCUAUCCCCUAAGUAUGUCCAUGCCCCCAUGGACGUGAUCACACUACGAUCAAAGUUUGGUCUUCCCAUGGUUCUCAAGAGCCUAGAGAUGUAG